RNAcentral lists this ribosomal RNA (429 nucleotides) under uncultured Leptospirillum sp. Its description in RNAcentral is "bacterial SSU rRNA". It matches the Rfam family "Bacterial small subunit ribosomal RNA", at positions 355 to 776 of the family's 1533-position model. Lineage: Bacteria; Pseudomonadati; Nitrospirota; Nitrospiria; Nitrospirales; Nitrospiraceae. The record is from RNAcentral.
UGAGGAAUUUUGCACAAUGGGGGCAACCCUGAUGCAGCAACGCCGCGUGUGGGAAGAAGGCUUUCGGGUUGUAAACCACUUUUGCGAGGGACGAAACCCCGGGGUUGAAUACACCGUGGGGGUGACGGUACCUCGCGAAUAAGCCACGGCUAACUCUGUGCCAGCAGCCGCGGUAAGACAGGGGUGGCAAGCGUUGUUCGGAGUGACUGGGCGUAAAGGGUCUGUAGGUGGUUUUUCAAGUCUUUGGUAAAAAGCUGUGGCUCAACCACAGUGCGGCCAAGGAGACUGGGAGACUCGAGGCUGGGAGAGGGAAGCGGAAUUUCUGGUGUAGCGGUGAAAUGCGUAGAGAUCAGAAAGAAGGCCGGUGGCGAAGGCGGCUUCCUGGAACAGACCUGACACUGAGAGACGAAAGCGUGGGGAGCAAACAGG